This 226-nucleotide long non-coding RNA is filed under the name Citrus maxima (pomelo). Its description in RNAcentral is "long non-coding RNA (CMAX_LNC003232)". Lineage: Eukaryota; Viridiplantae; Streptophyta; Magnoliopsida; Sapindales; Rutaceae. The record is from RNAcentral.
CCCAGCUAGCCUAGGGUUUUAAUUUUCUUGUGUUUGCAUAUGCACCUUUGUAAUUAAGUGAGUGUGCAGGUUCAUUCAUCUUUGAUAAACGUUAAUAUAUGAGCGAAAAUUGUAAAAAAAAGAGAGAAAUACUUAACUGCACUGGACAGAACAAAAUUGUACAUGCAUGAUAGAAUCAAACUAAAAGUGAUCAUUUGACGACAAUAUAUAUACAUUGUGAGCCGUG